Molecule: ribosomal RNA, 478 nt
Filed under: uncultured bacterium
Lineage: Bacteria
Description: bacterial SSU rRNA
Rfam family: Bacterial small subunit ribosomal RNA
Source: RNAcentral
GAUCCUGGCUCAGAAUGAACGUUGGCGGCGUGGAUUAGGCAUGCGAGUCGUGCGAGAACCGUAGCAAUACGGGGACAGCGGCGAAGGGAGAGGAACACGUGGAUACCUACCCUCAGGUUCAGGAUAGCUAUGGGAAACUAUAGGUAAUACUGAAUAAUAUCUCCGGAUCAAAGGUGUGAUUCCGCCGGAGGAGGGGUCCGCGUCCUAUUAGCUAGUUGGUGAGGUAAUGGCUCACCAAGGCGAAGAUGGGUACGGGAUGUGAGAACAUGAUCCCGCUCAUUGGGACUGAGACACUGCCCAGACACCUACGGGUGGCUGCAGUCGAGAAUCUUCGGCAAUGGGGGAAACCCUGACCGAGCGACGCCGCGUGUGAGAUGAAGGCCUUCGGGUUGUAAAUCACUGUCGUAGAGGAGGAAGUGUAGGUGGGUUCUCCCACUUAUUUGACCUAUUCUAGGAGGAAGGACGGGCUAAGUUCGUG